CCUACGGGAGGCAGCAGUGGGGAAUAUUGGACAAUGGGGGCAACCCUGAUCCAGCCAUGCCGCGUGUGUGAAGAAGGCCCUCGGGUUGUAAAGCACUUUCAGCGAGGAAGAACGCCUAGCGGUUAAUACCCGCUAGGAAAGACAUCACUCGCAGAAGAAGCACCGGCUAACUCCGUGCCAGCAGCCGCGGUAAUACGGAGGGUGCAAGCGUUAAUCGGAAUUACUGGGCGUAAAGCGCGCGUAGGUGGCUUGAUAAGCCGGUUGUGAAAGCCCCGGGCUCAACCUGGGAACGGCAUCCGGAACUGUCAAGCUAGAGUGCAGGAGAGGAAGGUAGAAUUCCCGGUGUAGCGGUGAAAUGCGUAGAGAUCGGGAGGAAUACCAGUGGCGAAGGCGGCCUUCUGGACUGACACUGACACUGAGGUGCGAAAGCGUGGGUAGCAAACAGGAUUAGAUACCCUGGUAGUCCACGCCGUAAACGAUGUCGACCAGCCGUUGGGUGCCUAGCGCACUUUGUGGCGAAGUUAACGCGAUAAGUCGACCGCCUGGGGAGUACGGCCGCAAGGUUAAAACUCAAAUGAAUUGCCGGA
RNAcentral lists this ribosomal RNA (587 nucleotides) under uncultured bacterium. RNAcentral's name for it is "bacterial SSU rRNA". It matches the Rfam family "Bacterial small subunit ribosomal RNA", at positions 338 to 917 of the family's 1533-position model. The record is from RNAcentral.